This 77-nucleotide transfer RNA is filed under the name Deltaproteobacteria bacterium. Its description in RNAcentral is "tRNA-Arg". It matches the Rfam family "tRNA". Rfam says of the family: Transfer RNA (tRNA) molecules are approximately 80 nucleotides in length. The record is from RNAcentral. Lineage: Bacteria; Pseudomonadati; Myxococcota; Myxococcia.
GCCCUCGUAGCUCAGUAGGAUAGAGCACAGGAUUCCUAAUCCUGGUGCCGCAGGUUCGAAUCCUGCCGGGGGCACCA